AAAAAAAAUAAUAUUUAAAGGGUGGAAGUUGAAAUCGGUUAUAUCAUUUCAAAAAGAAAAUAUAACUACUCUUUGAAAUUAAAACACAAAAACAAAAGAAAGGAAAAUCUAAGAACCCAAAAUAUAUAGAACAAAUUGGUUAAACAUAUUACAUUUUUUUUAUAAUGUUUUUGUGUGUUUUCAAUUCCGUGGCACAUAUGUUCUGUUAUCAAUUAUUUGACAGGGCUGGAAUCAAGGCAUUUAGAUUACAUAGAUCAACAUAAUUUUGGAGUCUUGCUGAAAUUUAAUUUCCAUUUGAUGUGCAGAUUAGUGCAAGGAGAAUACGGAUAUGGUGGCACUACAUAUAUGUUUGUUAUUGGAGGGGAUAUUAAAAAAUAACAUAUUUUGUUUCAUGUCUCUUCCUCUCCUAGCCUUUUUGGUUUUAUUCAAAAGGUUGGAAAGAUUGUGCUACAAUAUCAAAAUAGAGUGAUAUUAUUUACUGA
Long non-coding RNA from Trifolium pratense (red clover), 482 nucleotides. RefSeq lists it as uncharacterized. The record is from RefSeq and is a predicted model, not a curated record. Lineage: Eukaryota; Viridiplantae; Streptophyta; Magnoliopsida; Fabales; Fabaceae. The transcript is spliced from 2 exons.